Molecule: long non-coding RNA, 490 nt
Organism: Pogona vitticeps (central bearded dragon)
Lineage: Eukaryota; Metazoa; Chordata; Lepidosauria; Squamata; Agamidae
Source: RefSeq, a predicted model, not a curated record
AAAGAUUCUCCCAAAGGUGGUCUGGUCCAACAUCCUCUUUCUUGAACCUUUGACUUUCCUGGGUACUGAGAUUGGAGCCAACGUUCAGCCAUGAAGGCUUUUUACCUUCUCCUGCUUGUUGUCUUCUUGGCUUUCCGGGUUGAGAGCAACCCAAAACCAACAACUCAGGCGGAUGUAAAGGUCCCUGAAGGUCCUGCUAUUCAAGCUGAUGACAAGAACCUUAAGGAUGAACCAGCUGGAAAGUUUCGGGCAAUCCUAAUAACUUGCUUUGAAGGGGCCGGAUAUUGUCUACCCCGGCAAUAUUUCUGUGCUCUUGGUUCAGUGUUCAAGGAGGAAUACAAUGACUGCCCCCAAAAGGAUCAAAUCAAAUGCUGCGUGGGACGUAUAACUGGCUAAGAUGCUGAAAUCUUUGGGAAGAAUUGAUUCAGGAUUCUUCAAUUAACAAGAACAACCUGUUGUUCAACAUUCAAUAAAUUGUCUACGCAUUGCA